This is a long non-coding RNA of Athalia rosae (coleseed sawfly), 6930 nucleotides long. RefSeq lists it as uncharacterized. The transcript is spliced from 7 exons. The record is from RefSeq and is a predicted model, not a curated record. NCBI's taxonomy places the organism in Eukaryota, Metazoa, Arthropoda, Insecta, Hymenoptera, Athaliidae.
GGGGGGCGACGGAGCCGGCUCCCCUUCUUCUCUUUUUCCCUGGGCACCGUUUUCUUCAACCAGUCCUUUUACUUUGAGCGCCUCCGCAACUUUUAACAGACCCCCCAGCUGUUCUUGGGCGACGUUCACCUCCCCACGGGUAGAUCGAUGAAGAGCGUUUGAAAGUACGAGGAACACGCUGCAAGGACCAUUUUAUGACAUUUGACGGAUGCCCCGCCAUCCACUGCUAACGUGACAUCGCGCAGGCAGUACUGUUGAGAUGCAGUCCCCAUUACAGAUAAUUUUCCGAAUCCUGGAGAAAAAAAGAAAACCAAGAAAAUAAAAGACGAUACAGUUGCAGCCAUUCGUCAUCGGUACCGGAAGAGGCGACCAGACGUAUGGCAUUAUUAACGCGAUAACGUUCUUUGGUUAUCGGGGAGCGCGAAUGCAACGAUCACUUAAAUGCCACAUUCAGAGACUGAAGCCUGCGUUGGGUUCAGGAUGCGAUAGAGGAAGGCACGGCUCUCGCUCACGCUCUCAUGCGCACUUUUUUCACGCACGCACUCUCGGCUGCACGGCACGCACUGUCUCUGUAAAACACCCGCACGAAUUCUGAAAAGAGGUUGGACGAAAACGGAACCCUCUCUCUAGCCAUUGGGAGAGCCCUAUUCCUAUGCCUUCGCCUAUGCGCCUAUCUCCCUAUGCCGUUUGCCUCUUGAGCCGGACACCACUCUGCAACGCGUAGCUCAGCGGAAUCGACCAAAGUGGAAUGAGGAAGAUAAUCGUCACGAUAUUCCGAAUUCGGACAAGGACACCGCCAGAAAUGGCCACCCGAACGAUUGCGACGCGGUGCGGUUAUAACGAUCGACGGAAAUUUCGACACCGAAGCGAUUCAACGAUUACAUGGCACGGGAGUUAUGUUGCAUUUCCUGGCGGAUAGUCGCGACGCAGCCGGUGCACAGUGUGCAGUCGUGGAUAUCGGCGGCACUCCAAGAUAUGCGGCAAUAUACGGCAGUCCGGCAAUUCUCGACAUCGCGCAUCGAUCUGGUUGGAGAAUGUAUUUUUUUUUCACCACUGUGGAGGAAUACAACGCGACGGCCACUGCCUGAAAAUUGUUUCACGCGAGGCGGAAAAGCUGGAAUAUCCACGACGAUGAUGAAUUUUCGUUCGAGUAUCUGCACGGUGAACGCAUGGUGAACGGUGAUGCGAUAUGGAAGAAUUCGGUGUGUCGAGGUGAGCAGCGAUGGGUUUAUUCGGGAGUACGAAGACGAACCGCCGCUAGGGCUGGCGGACUACAUCGUAGGAAAGCGGAUGGAUCGUGGAUAUGGGAUUGAAUACGAUGGGAUGGGAUAGGACAGGCGAAGCAAGUGAGCGAGCAGCCAGCCUGCAGCCUCGGCGACGUCGGCUGGUUGCAAUAAAAAAUAAGCGACAAACCCUCCCUCCUCUUCUCCUAGGCUCGGCUCGCCUAGUCGCCCUCUUGCCUCAACUCCCUAUAGCGCGGGAGGGAGAAGAGGGAAAGGGAGGUUUAUCUGCAUUAGACUCGUGUUAGAAGGCCGGCAACCGCAAACCGGUCCUGAUCAUGUGGAAUGUCAGCCCUAGCACUGUUGCCACAUGUAUGCGCAUGAUUUUUCUGAAACUGCAUCACCCGGUCCACGUAGAUUUUUACUCCUGCACGUCGUACCGCGUAUACGAAUAGAGCCGAAUAUAUCCAGGCGAUGGCCACACCGCUUAUUCUAUAACCGAUCAUCACCCCAAACCUGCGUACGCCACCGAAAUCUAAACUCGUAUCCGUACGCCGAUCAUCUCACGAGAGAAGCGCACGUACUGUGAGAACUCACGCAAUUUGCCAACCCGCUUCCGCGGACAAUGCAUCGUCUAUACGCAGGCAUUAUACGAUCAUCGUAAUAACUGGUUUCCAUCCGCAACGGUUCCUCGCGGUUGUUCAACCACUUUUGCGAAGAAUAAAUAGACGAUAGAUUUUCUAUUUCGUCGCACAAUAGAACGAACAAACCAGCUAUCUUCGCGAUAUACCUUCGAACUCUCGGGUAGUUGCAGGGAUACGGUGCAAUGACGACGACGACGACGACGACGACGACGAUGACGAUGACGAUUACGAUCACGGGUGUUGCCUCGAUCCGAGGAAAACAUUGCGUGCUACCAUGCCGUUAGGACAUCCAUCGGGUGCCUGUGUACGAAGUUCGUGGAUUACCAGAAAUAUCGUACAUUCAAAAAAGAUGAAUUAUCCAUUCCUUCGGGUGUAUACAUAUAUUGUAGGCUGAAACAGGGUAGAUUACCGAGUUUUUUUUCUAUCUCGUACUUUGCAGUAUAGUCGCGAUAAUCUUCCACUUCCGGCUUGGGACGCGUCGUCUAUCUGCUGCUUUUGUCUUUGAGGAAAUUAGUAUCUUGGAGAAUUUUUCUCCAAGAGCUGUUCUCGAUAACAAAGCACGCGUGCGUAUAUUCGAAAUGUUUUUGUGGUUUUUCUCCCACCGGUAACAUAGCUCGGUUAUCGCACGCGCGCUUGUUCAUUACAUGGCAUAAUAGAAAAUCUAUACGAAGUACUUGUGCGUAAACGCGUGUACGCCUGGUAUAUGCGUUCGUGAAUUCUCCUACUACGAUUACUGGCCAUGCUCGCAUAUCGUCGUAUGAAUUCUUUUCUUUUCGAAUACUAGAGAAUUUGUGCGUACGACGCGAUAGGUUCGUACCAACGAAUAUGUACGCGUAUAAAGAAAAGGCAAUAGCUGCAUGCGGUAACAGGUGCUGCAGCAGCAACGGCAGCAGCACAGGAAACACGCCGGCAUUGUUGGUCUCAAGGCCACGCCGCUAUAAAACCCUUCUAUCGCACAAGAGCAUAAAAAAAAGAGGGACGACGACCUUGGCAACUAGGGUUGUCCAUUGCCUGCAUAGCCCACCGACACAACAUUACGGUCUAGCUAGGAUGGUCGACCGCCAUAAUAGACCAAAUGCGCUUGCCCUGGUCUUCUCCUCCUCCCUCUUUUCUUCUACCUUACCACUCCCCCCUUGCCGCUCUCCCCCCCCCCCCCGCCGCCCCUUGCUUCUUCUCGUUCCGUUCCUCUUCCUCCUCGUCUAGCCAGUCUAAGGCUCGCGCUCCGUGCCGGUCCUAGAUCAAGUUGGCGGCGCAGCUAUACUAUGCUAGCUGGGUCGUGCAUACUAUCUAGGUACACACACGGAGGUAUACACGCGUAUACGUAUAUUCACAUGGCUAUGCGCGAUGCACACACAUCCAGGGCUUUCGGGCAGCGAAUAAAGACGACAGGGUCGAGCGAACGAUUUCGUCUAGAGUAUUUAAAUGUGUUUGUACUUUUUAUCGUAUGUAUGUGCAUAUGCAUAUGGGUAGAAAAUUGUGUACAACACAUGCACCCGUAGGCGUCAACUUGGCGUGCCCGAUUUCGAGUUGACCCCAAAAAACACCGUCGACGACGACGUCGUAUUAUCGCGUUACGAUUUUAGACUUUGGCAAAAUUUACACAACUAACUGCCGCCUGUUUAUUAAACUAUGUACUUCACCGUAUCUAUUUCUAGCUGUACACGUGUACGAGUAUGGUAUACCUAUAUUCCUAUCAUGCGAGCUUCUUUACCACUAAUUGCCAUCUUCUGCAUGUAUGGCCAAUAGUGUAGUAUCAUGCGCACAGAUAUAACUUGACGGUGCAUUGCGAAGUGCGCGGUGCAAUACCACACGUAAAAAUGACAUUAAUAACGAUAAUUCGGUGCUCUUUCGUAACGUGAGUUGCGCUAUCAAUUCUCAGUUAGUUGGAUUUCACGUAUGUACGAUUUUUAUUCGCUUUUCAUAGGCACGAGGUCGACGCCAUUUUACAUUCACUGGUACAAGAGACUUCAACAGGCGUUUUUGAUACCAGACAUAUACGUGUAUACAUAUGUAUGUACGCGCAAGGCGUUCCGAAGAGCGAGGAGGGCAUGUAGGACCUUAUCGCGCGAAUUUUAGGUCAGAACGUAUAACGUAUAAUGUAAUCGAUACAUUGCACGAUUGCGCAAAGCCCUUCGAUCAAUGCCAGACUAUCUCAUAAUUAUUUUAACAUCGUCAUGUCGAGGCACCGUGCCGUUGUACAGGGCGUUGGGCGUUGAUCGAAAUUCGGAAAAGAGAUUCUCAGGUUUUGAGCAAAUUCUUUACACCGAUCGUUGUCCAGAUCGAGAAUGCGAUCGAUUCGCGAAAUCAACUGAUCGGUUCUUUUUUUCCAUUGAAAUGGAUAUUUCCGUGCAAUUGACGGAACACGGUAUAGAUCCGUUGCAAUUAUUUCGCCCGUAGAAAUACACCGGACGCACCGAUGAAAUUCGUCGAUAAAAUUGAACGAAACAUUCGUCGACGAAGGGAAAUAAUUUAUUCUCGAGAUGGGUAGACGGCAUAUGCUCCAAAAAAUCGCGACGGCCCUGCGAGAUAUCAGAUACACUGAAAAAAUGCAGAAGGCCCCCUCAUAUACCGCAUAGGCUGUCGUGUAUGCAGGUCGCACGUUACGGGCUCCGAUGUUCUGUACGUAAACUCAUACGAACUCCCCGCAAACCUACACCAACUCGAAAAAGUACAGCCAUCCGAGCUAUAGGCGUGCAUAUGUGGAGAACGCGAGACUAUCUCCGUCUUGUUCUUUUUUCAUUUCCUCCCUUCCUCGUCCUCUUUAGGUCCCUAUCCUUGCGUUGCAGUCUCUCGCGGUUCCUCGUGCUCUCUCCCGCGCGCACCAGACAGCAACAAAUGCAGAAGAAGCAACAGCAACGGCAACGGCAACUGCAGUGCAGGGCUCGUUCAACUUUAUCCACCGCCCUUAGUAUAGGGCAUCGCGCAGGACCCGCUUUUCCCACACUAUAGCCGAAUGACUGCCCGCUCGUAUAUUACGGUGCUGCACUGCCAGGGCCUUAUAUUGCAGCGAAACCCUUCGCAUGACGCGUCUAUGGUUCUCUACCUGUAUAACGGGUUAUUUUAUAGGUUUUUUCCUAUCUUUCUUCAAUUCUUUUUUCAGGUUUUUUUCGACAGGAUUAAUAAAAAGGUUUAGACGUCGGUAUAUGCGGGACACGGUAGAAAAUGUAUUUGCCUUUUUAUUUGCGAGUUUGCCACCGCCGUCCGGGACUUCAAUAAUUCGCAGUUUCGCACCCUUUGGAUUUUUACUACCGUUUACUGCAGUACGCAUCAUUAUAGCUAGGAUUUACAUUCCUCGAACAGACCCGUUUCAAUUAUACCGGUACGUUGUAUACGCAUAUACGAGUCCGCCCGAAGAUUAUUCUUUCUGUAGAUUAUUGCUUUACUACCACCUAAAGAGUACAACUACCGCCAUGCUGCUGCAGCUUGCUAAAAACAUACCACAUACUCGUACGAACAAUAGCGGAAAUCGUAGCUAAUCCAAACGUAGUUUAUCUACUAUGCGGGCUCUGAAAUUUACAGAGGAGCGAAAAGAUAAAGCUGUGUACAUGCGGAAAAAUACUUCGUCACGAGGCGAAUUGAACAAUUUUUUGCUCCGGAAUACUGGAAUAUCGACCGGAUAUCGUGUAGAGAUCACGCUGUGAAUAAAAAAAGUUGUAACGGUGUAGGAUGCACAUUUUGAUGCGAUGUGCAGUUGAUCCAAAAAGGUAGAAUAAUUAUGCGCACAUCCUCCUGAAUCGGCCGGUUUUUCUACCGAAAAAUGAAUAGGGGAUACCAUAACACGAAAUUUUUCAACAGGGAGUGGUAAUAAGGAAUGAGAAACGAAUAAAAAGACGCGUUCUAUCUCAUUACGAAAUGGGCUAUUAUACGGCCACGUAUACCUAUGUAUAGAGCGGUGAAGUCGGUGGUGUUCACCCUGCGAUUCUUAGUGCAGGACACACGGUUCUGCGGAAAUUACAGUGCGAGCUUUGUUUAUUCUCCAAUACACUUAAUUUUACCAAACUUUAAGAGACACUAUAAAUCUUGUGUCAACUAUUUCAAAUCCAAUUUAUAUCCGCUAGAUUCAUUAAUUUCUCCAUAUUUCAUACUUAUACAUGAGUAUAUGCACAGCUAUAAUAGGGGAAGGCGGGGCAAAGUGGGGUACCCCGAAAAUUUUGUCAAAUAAGUUUUAUUAUUAAUAUCCAAUUAAAUAUUUAUUAAUUAUUUCUUUUCUCAUGGUAACUGAAAAUCUUUCUUAUUUACUUCGAAUUAUACAAAUAAGAGAAAGAAUUUUCAUCGUAGUAAAGUUUCACAACGCUGGGGUCUGCCUCGAGUACCCAGUUUUGCCCCGCCUUCCCCUGUAUGUAAUCGUGUUUCAAGACCCCCUUUACAAAAAUAUUAAAUCGCACAUUUUUCGACGAAUACUAAUUUUUAUGCAUGAAUGUGACGUAAUUGUGUUUCACAACUAUCGUCGCCCGUUUAUUUUCAUUGACGCAAUCCGCGUUCCUAAUUGAAAAGUAGCGUUGACCGCAAAAUAUGUGAUUAUAUGCGUCUACCUAUGCGGCAAUCUGUAACAUCGGUAAGAGCCAGGUUUUAUUUGUUUCCAGAGAGAUUUUUUCCGUAACAUUAAUUUCCGUAACAUACUAUAAUUUCCCUUUUCUGACUAGUGACCGUAUGCAGUACUGGAUGGACGAAAAAUCAAUUAUCUUACCUUCUCCCAUAUAGCAGCUGUGUGUUAACAUGUGCAGAUGCGCCGUUGAGUUACAACCCACCUCGCAUUAAAAAUCUUUCGCAUUUAUUUGACAUCGCAUGAAUGGUAACGCACGCGUGCGUUUCAUUUUGUCAUGAGAUCGAGUGGUAAACUUUCAUGAUUAUACGAUUUUGUAUAAAGAUGUUAUUAUCCUGUCUACACUUACAAAUCUUUAUUUCAAUGUUGUAAUAUAUUCUUGUAUUGUAUUUUUAUGUUGAAAACGAGGGCAGUGCCUGGUGUUAACCACGGUUAACUGAAUUUAAUAUAUAAGUUUAAAUAAGUAUUAAUGAUAUAAGUAAGUCGAGAAGGGUCUGAAUUUUAUAAUAAAGAUCUAUCCACA